Molecule: long non-coding RNA, 196 nt
Organism: Pyrgilauda ruficollis (rufous-necked snowfinch)
Lineage: Eukaryota; Metazoa; Chordata; Aves; Passeriformes; Passeridae
Exons: 2
Source: RefSeq, a predicted model, not a curated record
AGAUGUAGCAGCAAACUUCUUGGAUAAGCUCCUGCUUUUCUUUAAAUGUUGUGAGGAAAGAGAACCUGUUCCAGCUGUUUGGAGCUAUAUGGUCUUUAGAAAUAUAAGCAGCAUUGCAGCAGAGUCUUGUUGAUGGGCAGAAGUCCUGAUGAGAUAAGAAUGCCAAACAUGCAAUAUAUGAUGAAAAUCACUGUCA